UACAGAGGUCCCGAGCGUUGUUCGGAUUCACUGGGCGUAAAGGGUGCGUAGGUGGUGAGGUAAGUCGGAUGUGAAAUCUCCGAGCUCAACUCGGAAAUGGCAUUGGAAACUACCUUGCUCGAGGGUUGGAGGGGGGACUGGAAUACUUGGUGUAGCAGUGAAAUGCGUAGAUAUCGUAAGGAAGACCAGUGGCGAAGGCGGAUCUCUGGACAGUUACUGACACUGAGGCACGAAGGCCAGGGGAGCAAACGGG
RNAcentral lists this ribosomal RNA (253 nucleotides) under uncultured bacterium. RNAcentral's name for it is "partial 16S ribosomal RNA". It matches the Rfam family "Bacterial small subunit ribosomal RNA", at positions 524 to 776 of the family's 1533-position model. The record is from RNAcentral.